AGUGACCAGAAGACAGGAGUGCGAGCUUUCUGUUAUGCCCGGGUAGGGCCACCAGAGGGCUCCUUGGUCUAGUGGUAACGCCA
This 83-nucleotide microRNA precursor is filed under the name Cercocebus atys (sooty mangabey). RNAcentral describes it as "miRNA (ENSCATG00000017549.1)". The record is from RNAcentral. Lineage: Eukaryota; Metazoa; Chordata; Mammalia; Primates; Cercopithecidae.